This 306-nucleotide ribosomal RNA is filed under the name uncultured bacterium. RNAcentral describes it as "partial 16S ribosomal RNA". It matches the Rfam family "Bacterial small subunit ribosomal RNA", at positions 507 to 809 of the family's 1533-position model. The record is from RNAcentral.
GACAGCAGUCGCCGCGGGAAUACAGAGGGUGCGAGCGUUAAUCGGAUUUACUGGGCGUAAAGCGUGCGUAGGCGGCUUCUUAAGUCGGAUGUGAAAUCCCUGAGCUUAACUUAGGAAUUGCAUUCGAUACUGGGAAGCUAGAGUAUGGGAGAGGAUGGUAGAAUUCCAGGUGUAGCGGUGAAAUGCGUAGAGAUCUGGAGGAAUACCGAUGGCGAAGGCAGCCAUCUGGCCUAAUACUGACGCUGAGGUACGAAAGCAUGGGGAGCAAACAGGAUUAGAUACCCCUGUAGUCCCUGUCUCUUAUAA